RNAcentral lists this ribosomal RNA (250 nucleotides) under uncultured Enterobacteriaceae bacterium. RNAcentral describes it as "partial 16S ribosomal RNA". It matches the Rfam family "Bacterial small subunit ribosomal RNA", at positions 86 to 339 of the family's 1533-position model. Lineage: Bacteria; Pseudomonadati; Pseudomonadota; Gammaproteobacteria; Enterobacterales; Enterobacteriaceae. The record is from RNAcentral.
GGGUGACGAGCGGCGGACGGGUGAGUAAUGUCUGGGAAACUGCCUGAUGGAGGGGGAUAACUACUGGAAACGGUAGCUAAUACCGCAUAACGUCUACGGACCAAAGUGGGGGACCUUCGGGCCUCAUGCCAUCAGAUGUGCCCAGAUGGGAUUAGCUAGUAGGUGGGGUAAUGGCUCACCUAGGCGACGAUCCCUAGCUGGUCUGAGAGGAUGACCAGCCACACUGGAACUGAGACACGGUCCAGACUCC